AACCCUAAAAAGUUCUAAAAGCAAAAAGGUUUGGUCCUAGCCUUACUAUCAGUUACCCCUCAACUUACACAUGCAAGUCUCAGCACCCCCGUGAGGAAGCCCUUAAACCCUUCACCAGGAUAAGGAGCCGGUAUCAGGCCCAAUUUUUGCCCAUGACACCUAGCCCCCGCCACGCCCCCAAGGGUUGUCAGCAGUGAUAAACAUUAUCCAUAAGCGAUAGCUUGACUUAGUUAGAGGGAAGAUAGUUGGCCAACUCGGUGCCAGCCGCCGCGGUUAGACCCACAAACUAAAAUUGAUAGUCAUCGGCGUUAAGCGUGAUUAUAGCUACUAUUGAAUUAGAGUAAAACUCCUUGCCCAGCUGUGAAAAGCAUGCAUUCCGGAAUCCUAUGAACGAAAGUCACUCUAACUAACGCUUGAACACACGACAGCUAAGAACACAAACUGGGAUUAGAGACCCCACUAUGCUUAGCCGUAAAUAUCAACUCACAACUAUAAACGCCAGGGAACUACGGGCUAGGCCUAAAACCCAAAGGACUUGACGGUGUCCCACCCAACUAGAGGAGCCUGUUCUGUAAUCGAUAACCCCCGCUAAACCUAACCUCUUCUUGCUUUUCAGCCUGUAUACCUCCGUCGUAAAUCCGCCCUGUGAAUGCCUAAUAGCGUGAUUCAAUUACCUUCCGUUAAUACGUCAGGUCAAGGUGCAGCCUAUGAAGAGGGGAGCAAUGGGCUACAAUUUCUAACUUAGAACAAACGAAUUACUAUAUGAAACUUAGCUAUGAAGGAGGAUUUAGUAGUAAAGAGAAAUUAACGUGUUCUCUUUAACAUGGCCCUGGGACGCGUACACACCGCCCGUCACCCUCUUCGAAAAUACUUAAUCAGUUUUCUAACCCGUGACAAUAAAUAGAGAGGA
RNAcentral lists this non-coding RNA (910 nucleotides) under Minervarya caperata. RNAcentral's name for it is "partial 12S ribosomal RNA". It matches the Rfam family "Bacterial small subunit ribosomal RNA", at positions 195 to 1479 of the family's 1533-position model. Lineage: Eukaryota; Metazoa; Chordata; Amphibia; Anura; Dicroglossidae. The record is from RNAcentral.